CGUGCCUAAUACAUGCAAGUCGAACGAACUCUGGUAUUGAUUGGUGCUUGCAUCAUGACUCCUACAUUUGAGUGAGUGGCGAACUGGUGAGUAACACGUGGGAAACCUGCCCAGAAGCGGGGGAUAACACCUGGAAACAGAUGCUAAUACCGCAUAACAACUUGGACCGCAUGGUCCGAGUUUGAAAGAUGGCUUCGGCUAUCACUUUUGGAUGGUCCCGCGGCGUAUUAGCUAGAUGGUGGGGUAACGGCUCACCAUGGCAAUGAUACGUAGCCGACCUGAGAGGGUAAUCGGCCACAUUGGGACUGAGACACGGCCCAAACUCCUACGGGAGGCAGCAGUAGGGAAUCUUCCACAAUGGACGAAAGUCUGAUGGAGCAACGCCGCGUGAGUGAAGAAGGGUUUCGGCUCGUAAAACUCUGUUGUUAAAGAAGAACAUAUCUGAGAGUAACUGUUCAGGUAUUGACGGUAUUUAACCAGAAAGCCACGGCUAACUACGUGCCAGCAGCCGCGGUAAUACGUAGGUGGCAAGCGUUGUCCGGAUUUAUUGGGCGUAAAGCGAGCGCAGGCGGUUUUUUAAGUCUGAUGUGAAAGCCUUCGGCUCAACCGAAGAAGUGCAUCGGAAACUGGGAAACUUGAGUGCAGAAGAGGACAGUGGAACUCCAUGUGUAGCGGUGAAAUGCGUAGAUAUAUGGAAGAACACCAGUGGCGAAGGCGGCUGUCUGGUCUGUAACUGACGCUGAGGCUCGAAAGUAUGGGUAGCAAACAGGAUUAGAUACCCUGGUAGUCCAUACCGUAAACGAUGAAUGCUAAGUGUUGGAGGGUUUCCGCCCUUCAGUGCUGCAGCUAACGCAUUAAGCAUUCCGCCUGGGGAGUACGGCCGCAAGGCUGAAACUCAAAGGAAUUGACGGGGGCCCGCACAAGCGGUGGAGCAUGUGGUUUAAUUCGAAGCUACGCGAAGAACCUUACCAGGUCUUGACAUACUAUGCAAAUCUAAGAGAUUAGACGUUCCCUUCGGGGACAUGGAUACAGGUGGUGCAUGGUUGUCGUCAGCUCGUGUCGUGAGAUGUUGGGUUAAGUCCCGCAACGAGCGCAACCCUUAUUAUCAGUUGCCAGCAUUAAGUUGGGCACUCUGGUGAGACUGCCGGUGACAAACCGGAGGAAGGUGGGGAUGACGUCAAAUCAUCAUGCCCCUUAUGACCUGGGCUACACACGUGCUACAAUGGAUGGUACAACGAGUUGCGAACUCGCGAGAGUAAGCUAAUCUCUUAAAGCCAUUCUCAGUUCGGAUUGUAGGCUGCAACUCGCCUACAUGAAGUCGGAAUCGCUAGUAAUCGCGGAUCAGCAUGCCGCGGUGAAUACGUUCCCGGGCCUUGUACACACCGCCCGUCACACCAUGAGAGUUUGUAACACCCAAAGUCGGUGGGGUAACCUUUUAGGAACCAGCCGCCUAAGGU
RNAcentral lists this ribosomal RNA (1457 nucleotides) under Lactiplantibacillus plantarum. RNAcentral describes it as "bacterial SSU rRNA". It matches the Rfam family "Bacterial small subunit ribosomal RNA". Lineage: Bacteria; Bacillati; Bacillota; Bacilli; Lactobacillales; Lactobacillaceae. The record is from RNAcentral.